AUUGAACGCUGGCGGCAGGCCUAACACAUGCAAGUCGAGCGAGCGGCGGACGGGUGAGUAAUGUAUGGGGACUGCCCGAUAGAGGGGGAUAACUACUGGAAACGGUAGCUAAUCCCGCACACUAUCGGGUUACCCCUAUGGGAUUAGCUAGUUGGUGGGGUAAUGGCUCACCUAGGCGUCGAUCCCUAGCUGGUCUGUGAGGAUGAUCAGCCAACCUGGGACUGAGACACGGCCCAGACUCCUACGGAGGCAGCAGUGGGGAUUAUUGCACAAUGGGCGCAAGCCUGAUGCAGCCAUGCCGCGUGUAUGAAGAAGGCCCUAGGGUUGUAAAGUUCUUUCAGUCGGGAGGCGUUACCGACAGAAGAAGCACCGGCUAACUCCGUGCCAGCAGCCGCGGUAAUAC
RNAcentral lists this ribosomal RNA (403 nucleotides) under uncultured bacterium. RNAcentral describes it as "partial 16S ribosomal RNA". It matches the Rfam family "Bacterial small subunit ribosomal RNA", at positions 30 to 526 of the family's 1533-position model. The record is from RNAcentral.